Molecule: long non-coding RNA, 1516 nt
Organism: Acyrthosiphon pisum (pea aphid)
Lineage: Eukaryota; Metazoa; Arthropoda; Insecta; Hemiptera; Aphididae
Exons: 6
Source: RefSeq, a predicted model, not a curated record
UUAAAGUUAAAAUAUAAUAAAAAGCCUAUAAGAUACCAUAGAACAAACUUGGCCAUAUAUUUUAGAAGAGGGCAAUUUAAUCUAAUUUUGAAACUAAUGGAGCUAAACGUGAUCUACUCAGCUUACAAUUUGCUAUGUUACACACAUGGUUUGACAAUCAUUGAAGAAGGAAAUAAUUAGUUUGAAAUCAAUAAUAAUUCAGAAUAAUUUAAUGAAAUGUGCCCAUGAUAUAUACAAAUCCAAAAAAACAUAUAAAAAGCUACUAAAUAUUAUAACAAGCAAUAAUUUAUGUGACAGCUAUAUAAAAAACACACAACAAAUAAUAAAAAUUGCUUUAAGUGAAAACAAACAUCUUUUAAAAAAAAAUAAAAUUAACAAAAAAAAUUAUUUAUCACUGAUAAGGAAAUGUCUACUAAGUGAAACCCUAAGAGGGCUGGUGGAUUUCAGGAAAAUUCAGUGCUUGAAGUAUAACCUGACACCAAUGCCACACAUAGGAUAUGGUACGGUGAACUUAAUUAUGGAGUCUCAUCCCAGAAAUAAUAUUAUGCUUAACAGUAUAGCAGGCAAACUUUUGAAUACAUUGUCCAAUGACAACAACCCUAUUAGACCGUUUCCAAGUUUUGUCCACAAUUUUUUGAGACUGUUUUUCCUCACCAAGUACCCCAACCCAUCCACCGGAGUUCCUGUUGGCUUUACCAAGGUCUUUGUUGCCCUGUUAUGGAAUGUAAUCGAACAAUACGUCGCGUGUUCGAGAUUGAACUUCAUUUAUAAAUUCUACCAGCGAUUACAAAGAAAUGAAGACAAUGUGUAUACCCAACGUGGGGAGCGUGUAUUCAAAGUAACAAUUAGGUACGAAUUUCAAAAAAAUGCUCUACAAAAUCGAUCACUAUGAAGAUUUCUUAUCUACAGAUUUCCAGUAUGACGCGGAGAGGUAUUUGGCUAUGUAAAUGAGGAAUAUAUUGUGGUUGAUAUGGGUGAUUGCCAUCCAUGAAAUCAAUCUCCACAUGGAGUAUUCGUUUGUGGAACAAAUAGUUAUUGUGGCCAUAGUGAAGAACCAACUUAAAUCGGGCAAACAGUUAUUUCAAAAAUUCAAUACAAUUGGACAGUACUUAUGCUGUUCAUUCAACAACACCCCAAACAAUGUUCGGUACUUUAAGCAGAUCUUAAACUUAUUAACACACAAAAAAAUAAUCACAAUAGUACUAGAAACAGAUAAAACACCAAAAUGAUAUACCAUAGACACAAGUAACCCAGAUGACCCAAAUUGUUAAUGGAUGCGAAAUAAUUCUUUACUCGAUCCAACUGGAGGUCAGUGCCUUGGAUGUAUACGCCAUAUAAAAUAUGUACCAGACCAGGCGCAAUAUAUACUGUUGGACUGUGGCCAUGGAUGGUAUUGUGCGAUGUGCAUCUCAAAACCUCCUCUCGCAUGUUCUGUAUGUGGUGAUAUGGUCGAAGGUACCUUAAGAAUAUUUUUAAAUUGAAAAAAUAUUUCAUCAUUUUUUGUUACUUAUUGAUA